UCGAAAUUGUAUUUUAUUUUUGUGCUUCUGCGUGAUAAGAACACUGCAUUUGAAAAUCAAACUGCAUCUUCAAAAAAACAAUAAAAACACCGUGCAUAAUCGCUUGAUUCUCAGUGAUGACACGUUUUGGAACUUAGAAGGCUUAGAAACGUUUUAGGAACGAAAAGUUAUUGCAUGAGCUUUAUAAUGAAUGGAAUUUAUCGUAUUCUCUGGCCGUGUCUUCUGUAUGGGGUGUGUUCUAUUGGUAUGACUGUUGGUUGUCCCGAUCGCUGUUCUUGCUAUGGGGGAACGUGUAAAACUGUUGAUUGCGAGGAACGAGGGCUGGAUAACGUUCCGAAGGGGAUACCCAACGAUACAUGCUAUUUGUGGCUAUAUAACAACCAGAUUAGUCAGAUUGACAACAACGCAUUUAAAGGGCUGUCACAGCUAAGAGAAUUGUCUCUGUCUUCAAACCAGAUUAGUCAAAUUAACGUCAAUGCAUUUCAAUGGCUGUCACAGCUUCGAAAAU
This is a long non-coding RNA of Magallana angulata, 508 nucleotides long. RefSeq lists it as uncharacterized. The transcript has 3 exons. The record is from RefSeq and is a predicted model, not a curated record. Lineage: Eukaryota; Metazoa; Mollusca; Bivalvia; Ostreida; Ostreidae.